CGGUGAAAAGACGUAGAAUAUUAGGAAGGAACACCCACUGGCGAAAGGCGGGCUUACUUGGACCGUAACUAACGUUGAGGCUCGAAAAGCGAGGGGAGCAAAACAAGAUUAGAUACCCUCGUAGUCCACGCCCCUAAACGAUGAUUACUAGGUGUCGGGGGACCAAGGUCCUCCGGUGCCGGCGCAAACGCAUUAAGUAAUCCACCUGGGGAGUACGUUCGCAAGAAUGAAACUCAAAGGAAUAGACGGGGACCCGCACAAGCGGUGGAGCAUGUGGUUUAAUUAGAAGCAACGCGAAGAACAUUACCUGGUCUUGACAUCCGGACGCCGUAUGGGCAAAGCCAUAUUUCUUUCUGGACGUCCGAGACAGGUGGUGCAUGGUUGUCGUCAGCUCGUGUCGUGAGAUGUUGGGUUAAGUCCCGCAACGAGCGCAACCCCUGUUUUCAGUAGCCAGCAUAUAAAGAUGGGCACUCUGGAGAGACUGCCCGGGAUAACCGGGAGGAAGGCGGGGAGGACGUCAAAUCAUCAUGCCCCCUAUGAUCAGGGGUACACACGUGCUACAAUGGCGUAAACAAAGGGAAGCGAGACGGUGACGUUGAGCAAAUCCCAGAAAUAACGUCCCAGUUCGGAUUGUAGUCUGCAACCCGACUACAUGAAGCUGGAAUCGCUAGUAAUCGCGAAUCAGAAUGUCGCGGUGAAUACGUUCCCGGGUCUUGUACACACCCCCCGUCA
This 732-nucleotide ribosomal RNA is filed under the name uncultured bacterium. Its description in RNAcentral is "bacterial SSU rRNA". It matches the Rfam family "Bacterial small subunit ribosomal RNA", at positions 679 to 1399 of the family's 1533-position model. The record is from RNAcentral.